RNA transcript from Uranotaenia lowii, 7951 nucleotides. It is a transcript of the gene named protein phosphatase 1 regulatory subunit 12A, with no coding region annotated. The transcript is spliced from 21 exons. The record is from RefSeq and is a predicted model, not a curated record. Lineage: Eukaryota; Metazoa; Arthropoda; Insecta; Diptera; Culicidae.
CGAUUCGAAAAGCGAAGACGGACGAGUGGCCAUAUUCGUCUUGUAGAUUCCCGUGCGCAAACACUGCCCCGUAGCAGCAGCAGCAGCAACGGAAUUCUCCGGAUUUUUUUGCCCGUCGAACGCGAACCCACGUAUAUUUAGCUGGUAGAAGGUAUAGCGAAGAAACUUUGCCCCGUUGUUUGUUGAAGUAGUGAGUGAAUUGAGCAGUAAAGUAAAGAAAGUGUCCGCGGAUCGUCGUGGUGCGGACGGAACGAAAAACUGAACUGAACUUCUUUGCUACUGUGUGUUUUUGUUUUUUUUUUCGCUGGUUCCCCCGUGUCAUUGCCGAGUUUCACACAGCACAGCUCAGCUCAGCCCAGCGCGUAUCGCGAGUUUUUCCUCUGCGUUGUUGGAUGUGAAAAUUUUCCUUGCCCAUUUGUAAGCAGCAAGAAGCAGUGAGCUCUCUGCUCUGCUGCCGUUCGAAAUAGUAUAUUUUUGUGUGCAAAAGUGAAUAGUGAACGUGUACGACGAAGAAUCGCGAAGUGCGUGAAAAUUUAUUUCUCCCUAGUAUUUUUCUUUUUUUGCUUUGUUGGUUCCGACUUUGUGUGUGCAGCUGCUCCUUACGAGGAGCCCCACAGCAGAAUCCAGUUCAUCGGGCUGACACAGCCGACUGUGGUUUAGGAAGCAAAAUACACAAUACUCUGCUUGCUUGGAUUGCUACCGAUAUUGGGAAGAAGUGCAGUUUGUUCUCGGAUUAAUCUGGUUCCUCAAGAAGGACGGAAUACCCCUGGCUCAGGCUUUUAAGCAUAUCAACAACAACUGUAACAACACAACAUCAAAACAACAACACAUUCGGAUGAAUAGAGAGGGCAGCAACAGAGGGAUUCAGUGAUUGUGGCCGAAGCUGUCUUUUGCGCGAUAAUGCCUUCGCUUUCGAUGAUGAAGAUGAUGAUUAUGGUGAUGGUUACGAAUGGUUAAUUGAAUGCGUAUCAAUUUCAGUGUGAUAUCGAAACACCUUGAAGCGCUCCGUGCCGAUACAAUUUUUGGGGAAAGGCGAAGAAGAGAGUUGCGGUGAAUCAAAAUUUAAAGUUGAGAGAGAAAAAACCGAGAAGAAUUCAGGCCGAAAAUAUUGAGUGUAACGUAACGUGAAUGGGUAUGGUUUCGCCUCCCUAUGGUAAAUCAUAUAAUUGUGCAGAUCGAGUGAAGUGCGUUGAUAAAUUGAUCUAUAAUUGAAUAUAAAAAAAUUGUCUGUCGAUCGUUGAGAUUGUUGUGUCACACAGCACGACUACACAAUGUCCAUGGAUAAUCGCAGCUCGUCGGCCCUGUUUAAGCGGGCUGAACAGCUAAAGCGAUGGGAAGAAUCGGAAACGAACAAACACAGCGGCAUCCCGAAGAGUCCGUCGAUGCGGCGGAUCAAGUUCUCCAGCGGCUGUAUCUUUCUGGCCGCCUGUGUGGCCGGCGAUAAGGACGAGGUAUCCCGGUUGCUGGAAACCGGUGCCGACAUCAACACGGCCAAUGUCGACGGGCUAACGGCGCUGCAUCAGGCGUGUAUCGAUGAUAAUCUGGACAUGGUCGAAUAUUUGGUACAAAACGGUGCAGAUGUAAAUCGGAAAGACAACGAAGGUUGGACCCCGCUGCACGCCACAUCAUCUUGUGGAUUUCUCAGUAUAGCCCGAUACCUGAUAGAAAAUGGGGCGGAUCUGGCAUCGAUCAACAGUGACGGGGAGCUGGCCCUGGAUUUGGCCUGUUCCGAUGCCAUGGAGGAUCUUAUUCAGCGUCACAUCGAUGAACAGGGCAUAGAUUGCGAGGAAGCGCGGCAAAUUGAGGAGAAGAUCAUGCUCAGUGAUGCCAAACGAUGGCUCCGAACUGACAGUACAGACUGUGAUAAACCGCACCCGAAAACGGGAGCCACGGCGCUUCAUGUGGCCGCUGCCAAGGGAUACCUGAAAGUACUCAGUCUGCUGCUGGACGGUCGGGGAGACUUUGACAAACAGGACGUAGAUGGAUGGACGGCACUUCAUGCGGCAGCUUACUGGGGCCAAAAGGAAGCAGUCCAGCUGCUGUUGAAUGCCAAUGUCGAUAUCGACAUCCAGAACUACAGCGGCCAGUACGCGAUCGAUAUCGCCCAGAAGGAUAUCGUUUCACUGCUGGAUGAAGCUAGGAAGAAUCACAAACGGCCCAAGCGGCGACCCGCUAGUCAAAGAAUCACCGAUACUAUCGAAAAUAGCAUCGAAACACCCACCAAGGUCAUCCGGGUUGAGGUCAAACCAAUCGACAGUAGCAAAGAGAAAGAAGUGAAUUCAGCAGCCGCCGACGAAGGUGAAAGCGUUUCGGAACAAGAGGAUGACGAACCGGACGAUGGGAGCGGGAGUGAUCGAGACGGGAAGAAUGCAGAGCAAGAAUCGGACUCAGCCGAAGAAGCAGACGAACCGGCAGAGGAAGCUGAAGAAGAGGCAGAAGAAGAAGAAUCGGAAGAAGACGUAGAAGAAGAAGAGGAGACCGCAGAACCGGACGAAGAAUCGGAACCGGAAGCGACCGUCUCUUCGGAACCGUACUCGUCUUCCGAGUCGUCCUCUUCCACAACCUCCUCCGCCGACAGCAGCCUAUCAGAAUCCGACACAGAAACCACCAAACCUGUUGCCAUCAUAUCCCGCCCGACUCCGGUUCCGGUUACGGAACAGAUAAUCGUUCCGAAACCACAGCAAACAAUCUUGGCGGCAGCACCAUCACCACCUUCAGUUGAAGCAGCAGCAGCAGCUCCACCAGUUCCGGCAUCACCUGUUCCCUGGCGUCGCGCUCGUCCUGCGGCUACUCCGAUUCCUACGGCCGAUGCGAUUCAACAGCAGGAAGCAUACCUGCAGAAGCUACAGAAUGGCAUUUCCAAUAAUCACAGCUUUAGCAGAAAUCAAGUUCCGGAAAAGGAAAACCAACCAACCGAGCCGGACGUUAUCCUGCGGCGGACCCAGAGUUUCGAGAAUGACGAAAAGUUCUACCAAAAGUACGUUGAACUGCGGGCCCGAAUACAGGCCAACUCCUGUCCCAUUUUGCCGAACAACAACGCCAAUCCGGCCACGAUUGCGAAGACCGCCUCCACCAACUAUCUGAUACAAAGGUCAGCAUCACUCAAGGAUCAUCGAACGUUAAGGAAAGCAACCAGCAAUCUGGUCCUGGGAAGCACCGGAAGUGCCGCAACCACCCAGCAACAAUCGUCGACGACGUCCCCACCCACUAGUCCCACCGGAACGACCACCUCGUCAUCGGUGCAGCAGCAGCAAAUCCGAAGCAUCACACCUGCCAAUAACAGCAACAACAGCAUCAGUCACACGACAGAAUCAGAAGCUACAGUCAACCUCAACAACAACGACAACAAUAGUAAUAAUGACAGCCGAGGUUACAACAAUAACAACAACAACAACAACAAUAGUAGCGCGACUGCAAACAAGAAUCACAGCCUGUUCGAACUCAAUCGCAAAUACAUUGAACAAGCCCAGAAGACCAAGAUCAAUAACGAACGUAAUAAAUUUCUCUCGUCACUCAACGAGAAGAGACAACAGUUGCAGCAGCAACAACAGAAACAACAGGAAGUGGAACAGCAACAGCCGGAAGCGGAAGAGGCAUCAGCAGCAACACUCGCGCAGCCGGCCGGCUCAAAAUCCGGCACCGCAACCGGGCCACAGCAGCAGCAGCAGGAGCAAACGAUCCUGGCCAAGAGUGUAGCUCCGAUGGCGGCCAGCAGCAGCAGCCUCCACUUUUCCUCAACCAACAACGAUGUUACUGAAUCAGAACAACCUUCACCACCACCGUACAGCAGCAACACCAAUAACACCACCACUAGUAGCAGCAACAAUCCAACGGUCGUCGUUUCCACCAACAAACUUUCGCCCGGGAAUAUUUUCAAAAACUUCUUCAAAUCCUUUGUGCCACCGACGCGCGACGAGGAAAGCGAAACGCAGCGGAAGGCGCACGCCAAACGAGUGCGGGAAACGCGUCGCUCGACGCAGGGCGUCACCCUGGACGAGAUCAAGAGCGCCGAACAGCUGGUCAAGAAGAAGAACUCGACCAACAACACCGGCAGCAGUAGCAGUCCAACCGAUAGCGAAUUGCCUGCAUCAAUCGGCAACACCACAACACCAGCAUCCUCCUUAACCUCAACCACAACCACCACCACUACUCCUCCAAUAAACGAUCGCGUUCCUUCGGUUGUGGACGUCGGAGGAGAAAGCUCAGAGGUAAGCGGCAGUGGCAGCAGCAGCAGCAGCAAAGUUCCUUCUAAUUCUGGCGAGGGCGGCGAACAGGUAUCGGCCAGCUUCACCAUCACAGCACCGACCACUUCCGGCACCGGAAAGAGCCUCCUUCGAGGGGGUGAUGCGGGUGGCGGUGGCGGUGGAGGAGGGGGAGGCGACUACGAAGAACCCCCGGAAGCGGAUGCCGCCAGCAAGAUCAAUGUGACCUACACGAUCAGCACCGGCCCUAGGCUAGCUGGUACCGGUAGCAGUAGUAUUAGUAGUAGUAAUCUUAACAACAGUGAACCAACGAAAGCCAAAGAUAAGGGCAAGGAAGAUGUGGCCGCAACGAGUAACAACAACAACAACCCUAUCAAUAGUAACAACAACAAUUCGAAACAAAUCAAGACUGAGCCGGAUGAGUCGACGCUAAAAGCACCCAAGUCUUCGACAACUACCGGUAGCAAAGAUUCAUCAUCAUCCUCAGUGCAGCCGGUCGCUUCGAUCCGGACAACGACCGCUACGGCAGCGACAGCCAUCACCGGAAAACGAUCCCUCUUCGACAUCGACAAUGCCAACUCCCUAACGCUGGCGGAGAAACUCAGGCAGGAGGCCAACAAGUACGCCGAAAGCGAUAAGGAAAACUUUGUGGUCAGUUCAAAACCUUCAGCUACCGCCAAUUCUUCCUCCUCGAACGUAACGCCGGCGGCAGCCGGUGAAGGUAUUGUAUCUGCACCGAGCACCGGAAGCAUUAGCAGCUCUCGAAAGGACUCUGCAACUUCACAACCUGGCAGCACUUCCAAUACGUCUUCGUCGUCGGUAGCCGAACGAAGGCCUUCGUGGCGUCUUAAGGUUGAUGCUGGUUCAAAGUUCAAGCUGGAGGAUGCAUCGGCACCCGCUAGCAGUACUUCCGUAUCAUCAGUCAACAACACUGCCGCAACCACUACCACCAGCAGCAGCCAAGAGCCCGCCUCGAAUAAUCGCCAGCCUGAACUAACCUCGGUAUCUUCGUUACUGCAGCGAAGGCAGAACGGUGAUAGUACUUCCGUUAGCGCCCGCCCGGUAUCGGCACCGGAAGUCGGCGAUGCCAGCUUGCACCUGAGGAGGCAAGCACAGAAGGUUGCCGGCAUCACCAGCACCACCACCCAGGAGGAGAACAAAGAGAACGACAAGGAGAACAACGAAAACCGUACCACCGGUAGCAGUGCCCAGGCUACGCAGGCCGUGAUCCAGAGAAGGAGACGCCCGAAGCGGCGUUCGACCGGAGUGGUGCACGUCGACAUGGAGGACAUUGACCCCGAUAGGCAAGAUUCUCCAGUCGACGGUGAAGACAAGGAGUCCGGAGCCGAACGAGGACGAUCGCGGGUGGGAUCGACCGCAUCGGAGCUAGCGGACUCCGGCAGCAAAGAUGAGUCGACGACGACGGCGUCGGCCAAAGAAAAUGGCGGGGACUACAUCGACUACAAAGCUCUCUACGAACAGGCCAAAGCUGAUAAUGAUGUGCUCAAGGGCACCCUGCGGAAAAAGGAUGAAGAAGUGCUCAGUUUGAAGUCGGCCCUCGAAAGGUUCACAACCGCGACCACCAAGAACAACUCACUGUCCGAGCUGGAAAAGCGGGAAAGACGAGCGAUGGAGCGGAAAAUGUCGGAAAUGGAGGAAGAGCUCAAGCUUCUUCAAAAAUACAAAACAGAAAACGAACGUCUGCGGGCGGAAAAUCGGGCCCUCACACGGGUCGUGUCGAAACUGACCACCUCGGCACAGAAUCAGUUGCACAACAAACAGUAGAAAGGAAGGAAGGAAGGAGUUGAUAAAAAAAACAAUAGAACCCAUGAAAAUUUACAAUUUUUGAUACGAGCAAUUUAAGUUAGUCGUCUACUUUUUUGCUGAAAUUCGUCGAAAAAUGAAACGAAAAAUUGACACAACUAGAAGGCAACGCGGCUACAUCAACAACUACAGCAACGCAACUUUAACAACAACAAACAACGAUCGUAGUACUAGUUUUUACUAGUAGAUAUUUGAAACAAAAACUAUCGUAGUACUAGUCGUUAUCCAACUUAACGGAAAGGUUUACAAAUACUGAAAUUUGUUGAGUAAAUCAAAAUUUUUGUUUUUCUUUUUGAAAUUUGUGUUUCGGUUCGGGUUUUUUUUUUCAUUGGUUUUUUGAUUUAAAGUUCCAGCUAGGUACUAUUGGUGCUAUUGUUGAGAUCCUAGAUCUAGUACUACUUCGGAAUUGGAUUGGUGAAGCUUCCUACUUUUUCUUGGAUAGAAAAAAUCGGUGUAAAGUUACACAAACUAGCCAAAUUGUACAUAGAAAAAAAACUGCUUAGUAUGGUGCAUUGUUCUUUUUCAAAUCAACCAAAUAGCGAAGAACUGUUGUUUCGAGAUUGCGAAAUAGAGGCGGACGCGUUUAUGAAAAAGUAAACAAACAAAACUCCGAACGACACUUUGACACCCCUAGAUAGGCCAACAGUGGACGCGAGCGCUCAAAACGAAGUACUAGAAUGUGAAUGUUUUCGGAAUACCGCCGACGGUAGAGAGUGGUUUUUGCAACUGGAAGCCCUCAAGACCGAAAACCAGCGCCUCAAGGAUGAGAAUGGAGCCCUGAUCCGGGUCAUCAGUAAACUCAGUAGAUAGAAGAUAGAAAAAUUGCCAGGUUCGAAACCAAAAUGCUCGAUCGACGGCGUCGGUGAAAAACGUGGCAAAUCCUAGUAUGGAGCAAAAGAAAAAGGUGGUGGAUCACCUCUAACCAUCUGAAGAAGGCAGGCAAGCACUUAGGCAGCAGAUUGUCGUUGUCGUCCUUCCGAGAGAGAAAAAAAACGAUAGGAAAUAAAUUAUUCUGAGGGCGGAAGUAACAAUUGGCCAAUGAUGAACCACAUUGGCGAGUGUCGAAAAUCGAGACGGAAAACUGAUUUUUUUUACAACAUUAGACUAGCGAUCAACAACAAAAAUGUAUAGGUAUUUGAUGAUAAAGAAAAAUCACAAAUGUAAUGAUGAGAGAAGAAAAAACUAUUAUCACUAGACCGAGGAAAAGCGUAAUCGUAAAAAAACAGCAACAAAAUUAGAAAUUUGAAUACAAUACAGAAAUCAAAAGAAAAAAAACAAGAGAAAAUUAUAGAUAAAAACUACUUUUAUUGCAAACAAAUCGAUCAGAGUUAAACAAAAAAACACACGAAGUUAAACUAUUUAUAAAAAAGUGAAUUUAAGAGAAAGGAUAGAAAAAAAGCAAACUACCGAAAAUGAUUUCAUUUUGUAUUCGCCGUGUAAUUUUUUCUCCUAAACACACACACACCCAUAGCGAUUAGUAUUUAUGAAAGUAAAAACAGCAAAAGUAUAAGCUACUGUCUUGUCAUUAUUAUUGUCAUCGUCAUCUCCUAUUGUUUCCGUUUUGUAUGUGUACAGUGAGAAAAACCACGCAUUUUUUUUUCGUUUCGUUUCGUUUUGUUUUUGAUUUUUAUUUCUACAUCAUUUAGCAUUGAUAAUUUGAGGGAUAAACGAAGAAGAGACAGAAGAAAAUGAAAAUCAUAUAAUAUUAGCUGUGACAAAGAAGAACAAUACAACCAAUAAUUGUACUGGAACCCAGUGGACGACGGAAAUCGUUAAUUUGUUAGUUUUUGGCCUGAAUGUGUCUAUAAGUACUACGUGUAAAUUGUAUCCUUCCAUUUGUUUUCUCUUUUUUUUUCUUUUAAUUAGUAUUAAUCUGUGUUAGUAAUGAGAGUAGAAAUAAAAGUGAAAUUUUCUUUAGAUUAAAA